RNAcentral lists this ribosomal RNA (635 nucleotides) under uncultured bacterium. RNAcentral's name for it is "bacterial SSU rRNA". It matches the Rfam family "Bacterial small subunit ribosomal RNA", at positions 1 to 595 of the family's 1533-position model. The record is from RNAcentral.
GAACUAGNUCGGUACUCCGAAUGCAUCNAGAUGGUUGUAAUUUGAUCAUGGCUCAGAUUGCNACGCUGGCUUAGCAUGCCUUACACAUGCAAGUCGAACGGCAGCACGGGAGCUUGCUCCUGGUGGCGAGUGGCGAACGGGUGAGUAAUAUAUCGGAACGUACCCUAGAGUGGGGGAUAACGCAGCGAAAGUUGCGCUAAUACCGCAUACGAUCUACGGAUGAAAGUGGGGGAUCGCAAGACCUCAUGCUCAUGGAGCGGCCGAUAUCUGAUUAGCUAGUUGGUGGGGUAAAGGCCUACCAAGGCAUCGAUCAGUAGCUGGUCUGANAGGACGACCAGCCACACUGGAACUGAGACACGGUCCAGACUCCUACGGGAGGCAGCAGUGGGGAAUUUUGGACAAUGGGCUGCAAGCCUGAUCCAGCAAUGCCGCGUGAGUGAAGAAGGCCUUCGGGUUGUAAAGCUCUUUUGUCAGGGAAGAAACGGUGAGGGCUAAUAUCCUUUGCUAAUGACGGUACCUGACAGAAUAAGCACCGGCUAACUACGUGCCAGCAGCCGCGGUAAUACGUAGGGUGCAAGCGUUAAUCGGAAUUACUGGGCGUAAAGCGUGCGCAGGCGGUUAUGUACGUCAGAUGU